GUCCGAGUGGCGGAAUCGGAAGACGCACUGCGCUCAGACCGCAGAGCUUCGGCGUGGGAGUUCAAGUCUCCCCUCGGACACCA
This 83-nucleotide transfer RNA is filed under the name Pseudaminobacter soli (ex Zhang et al. 2022). RNAcentral's name for it is "tRNA-Leu". It matches the Rfam family "tRNA". Rfam says of the family: Transfer RNA (tRNA) molecules are approximately 80 nucleotides in length. The record is from RNAcentral. Lineage: Bacteria; Pseudomonadati; Pseudomonadota; Alphaproteobacteria; Hyphomicrobiales; Phyllobacteriaceae.